Long non-coding RNA from Protopterus annectens (West African lungfish), 168 nucleotides. RefSeq lists it as uncharacterized. The record is from RefSeq and is a predicted model, not a curated record. NCBI's taxonomy places the organism in Eukaryota, Metazoa, Chordata, Ceratodontiformes, Protopteridae. The transcript has 3 exons.
UUUGGUGUGUUCAUUUGCUGCUGCAAGCUCCUUUGCAAUUCGCUCUGCCUCUUCACGUCGCUUCUUUUCUUCCUCCUCUAUCCUCCGUUCUUCUGCUGCAAUGGGUUUCAGAUAAUUUUAAUAAGAGGGGAAACCUGCACAGGAGGAACCAUUUUGCUUUCUACCCGC